GGGGGCGUACUGGUUUCGACCUGGGGGAUACGCCAGAGGCGGCAUGCCGAGGAUGGUUCGUUGGCCUCGUUAAUCAUCGGACCAAAAAACAACUGCUAACGAAGAAUUAGCACUCGCGGCCUAAUGCGCUGCGACGUUCACUGGUGGACGCCUGCUACGCCGGAUGAACGCCACAGCAGGCGUGGUUGACGGCGGAGACCGCGCGCCGGCGGCCGAGAAAAUUCCAUGCGGACUAAGCGGUGCGACUCGCGUCAGGCCGUGAUACCCUGGAAGGUUCGAGUCCUGCCA
This 288-nucleotide transfer-messenger RNA is filed under the name Verrucomicrobiota bacterium. RNAcentral describes it as "Verrucomicrobia bacterium transfer-messenger RNA". It matches the Rfam family "transfer-messenger RNA", at positions 1 to 297 of the family's 374-position model. From Rfam's summary of the family: Bacterial tmRNA, also known as 10Sa RNA or SsrA, is named for its dual tRNA and mRNA-like properties. Its role is to liberate the mRNA from a stalled ribosome. Lineage: Bacteria; Pseudomonadati; Verrucomicrobiota. The record is from RNAcentral.